Molecule: ribosomal RNA, 401 nt
Filed under: uncultured soil bacterium
Lineage: Bacteria
Description: bacterial SSU rRNA
Rfam family: Bacterial small subunit ribosomal RNA
Source: RNAcentral
AGAACGAACGCUGGCGGCAUGCCUAAUACAUGCAAGUCGAACGAACACUUCGGUGUUAGUGGCGCACGGGUGCGUAACGCGUGGGAAUCUGCCCUUGGGUUCGGAAUAACAGUUGGAAACGACUGCUAAUACCGGAUGAUAUCGAAAGAUCAAAGAUUUAUCGCCCAGGGAUGAGCCCGCGUAGGAUUAGCUAGUUGGUGAGGUAAAGGCUCACCAAGGCGACGAUCCUUAGCUGGUCUGAGAGGAUGAUCAGCCACACUGGGACUGAGACACGGCCCAGACACCGACGGGAGGCAGCAGUAGGAUAGUGGACAAGUGGCGCAAGCCUGACUCCGAAGCAAUGCCGCGUGAGUGAUGAGGCCGUUAGGUAGUAAGCUUACGUUUACCGAGUAUAGAUAAGU